This 550-nucleotide ribosomal RNA is filed under the name Fuscoporia cinchonensis. RNAcentral's name for it is "SSU rRNA". It matches the Rfam family "Bacterial small subunit ribosomal RNA", at positions 420 to 921 of the family's 1533-position model. Lineage: Eukaryota; Fungi; Basidiomycota; Agaricomycetes; Hymenochaetales; Hymenochaetaceae. The record is from RNAcentral.
AAAUCCUUAAUGUGUCAUUGAGGAUAAGGUAAGGGAAAAUAAUGAUAUUACCUUACUAUUAGUGUUGUCUAAAACUCGUGCCAGAAGACUCGGUAAGGCGAGAGACGCAAACGUUAAUCAUCUUGAUCAGGCGUAAAGGGUGUGUAGGCUGUUUAAGUUAAAAUGUUAGUGUGAGGCUGUAUGCCGUACGGCGGGCAUUAGUCCUAUUUGUACUAAUAUGCCUUCUGUACUGGCGUAUACCAUCAUACAGCUAUAUUUUAAUGUAUACUAGAAUCUAAAGGAGGUUAAAACAAUGCUUUAUAUCGAUAAGUGUUCGAACUUAAGANAUUUGGUAGAGUGUUAAAGGCGAAGGCUUUUUUCCAAUAAAGAUUGACGCUGAGAAACGAAGGAGAGGGCAGAAAAAAGGAUUAGAGACCCUUGUAUUCCUCUCUGUCAACGAUGAAUGGUAGUCAUGAGAGAGAAAUAAUCUUAAGGCGAUGUUAACACGUAAAACCAUUCCGCCUUGUGAGUACGACUGCAAAGUUGAAAACAAAAAAAUUAGUCGGUUUCG